CGUCUAUAUACGUAUAGCAUAUCAAUAAGCGGAGGAAAAGAAACUAACUAGGAUUCCCUCAGUAACGGCGAGUGAAGCGGGAAGAGCUCAAAUUUGAAAUCUUCAAGGUUCUACCUUGACGAAUUGUAGUUUAAAGAAGUGUUUUCUGUUGGAGUUUUGGUAAAAGUUCUUUGGAAUAGGACAUCAUAGAGGGUGAGAAUCCCGUAUUUGACCAUUAUUUCCAACUUUGUGAUACACUUUCAAAGAGUCGGAUUGUUUGGGAAUGCAGUCCAAAAUGGGUGGUAAAUUUCAUCUAAAGCUAAAUACUGGCGAGAGACCGAUAGCGAACAAGUACCGUGAGGGAAAGAUGAAAAGAACUUUGAAAAGAGAGUUAAACAGUACGUGAAAUUGUCAAAAGGGAAGCGUUUGACACCAGUGUUGUUUUCUCGAAAAUCAAUUAAAAAUGGCGGGAUGUUGUGUUGUAUUGACUUUAUCAGCUUUCUGCACUUUUUUCCUGUCUUUUUUAAUGCACUUUUCGUUUAACAAGUCAACAUCAAUUUCUUUUGUUGUAAAAGGGUCAUUGGAAGGUGGCUUCCUUUUCGGAGAAAGUGUUUAUAGCCUUUGCCUCUGCAAUCGGAGAGAUUGAGGUCUGCAGCGUAGAUCCUUCGGGGUUAGAUAGCAUUUGUGCUAAGUUAUAGCCUUUCAUAGACAACUUGUUGACUAUGAUCAGUCAUGUAGCUUACUCGCUUAUGCUAUUUUACCUACGCUUAGGAUGUUGAUCUGUAGUGCGUGCGC
Molecule: ribosomal RNA, 774 nt
Filed under: uncultured Neocallimastigales
Lineage: Eukaryota; Fungi; Neocallimastigomycota; Neocallimastigomycetes; Neocallimastigales
Description: partial large subunit ribosomal RNA
Rfam family: Eukaryotic large subunit ribosomal RNA
Source: RNAcentral